Molecule: ribosomal RNA, 460 nt
Filed under: uncultured bacterium
Lineage: Bacteria
Description: partial 16S ribosomal RNA
Rfam family: Bacterial small subunit ribosomal RNA
Source: RNAcentral
CCUACGGGUGGCAGCAGUGAGGAAUAUUGGUCAAUGGGCGGAAGCCUGAACCAGCCAAGUCGCGUGAGGGAGUAAGGCCCUACGGGUCGUAAACCUCUUUUGCCGGGGAGCAGUGCCCAGCUCGUGUGCUGGGAGGGAGUGUACCCGGAGAAAAAGCAUCGGCUAACUCCGUGCCAGCAGCCGCGGUAAUACGGAGGAUGCGAGCGUUAUCCGGAUUUCUUGGGUUUAAAGGGUGCGUAGGCGGGCCUUCAGGCCGGCGGUAAAAUUGCGGGGCUCAACCCCGGCGAGCCGUUGGAACCGGUGGCCUUGAGUACCGGAGAAGUAUGCGGAAUGCGUGGUGUAGCGGUGAAAUGCAUAGAUAUCACGCAGAACCCCGAUUGCGAAGGCAGCGUACCGGCGGGUCACUGACGCUGAGGCACGAAAGCGUGGGGAUCGAACAGGAUUAGAUACCCCUGUAGUC